This is a long non-coding RNA of Scylla paramamosain (green mud crab), 673 nucleotides long. RefSeq lists it as uncharacterized. The record is from RefSeq and is a predicted model, not a curated record. Lineage: Eukaryota; Metazoa; Arthropoda; Malacostraca; Decapoda; Portunidae. The transcript has 2 exons.
ACAGGUUCGUUCGAUGCAAGGAGUUGGCACAGGAGGCGUCCGAGGCUGUGUAGAGCGGCCGUCUGAACCUGGUGCCACAGCUUACUAUGUUCAACAGAUGCCUGAAGGAAGUGUGUGUAAGGGAGGAUAAAGAGAUCAUGCUGGCCUAUGCAGACGAUGUCGCUGUCGUGACAGGAAGCCAACAAGAUCUUCAAGAGGCCAUGACAAGAUGGAAUGAUGUUUUAAAUAGGGAAGGAAUGAGAAUGAACAAACAAAAAACUUAUUUACUAGUGGACAAGCAACAAGUGAUGGUGUGGCUCUGAGCCACUGUAGUAGGGAUGUUAUGGUUUAAGUGUAGGAAGUUGCAAAUGCUCACCUAACAAUUGCACCUUAGUAGAAAAACACAAACAGGAAGUUUAUGCAAGUUUUUAUCCUUAUAUAAAAUGUUGUAUUGCAUCAAACCUCCAUACAUUACUGUCUCUAUCCAGUAUGAGACCGGUGUUCAGGAAGCACAAGCAUGUGCUGAAUAACAAGAAGCCGGCAUUGGUGAAGGUGACAACAUUUCAUCUAUUUAUACAUACUUUUUAUUAUUAAAGCUUAUCUUAUAAUUAUUUCUGAAGAGAUUGACUAAUUUUUGUAGUAUUUAUGACUUAGAACUAUGAUAAAGCUAUGAAUUGAUAUAAUUCCUGAUUUG